UCAAUAGCACAAGAAUAAUUUCUGUACCAAUUAAUGUAACCAUUUAGCAAUGAGACCCGACAUUCGGAUAGGCCGAAUGUAUGCUCAGCAACACUCAAGAAUCGAUAUAGAUAUAGUUACCGUAUAAUUCAUCCUUUUGACUCUCGAUGCUCAAGGAUGACUUAAGGUUAAACUGUCAAUCCUAGAUGAGUGAUCCACAUUAUGUUUCAACUUAAAAAAUUUUGUAACUCCUCACUAGGACUACUCUGGCCAGAGUUUUAUUGAAUUGAAACAUAGUGAUGCAUCAUCUCCAAUUUAUUUAAAGCGGUCAAUCCCAUCUUAAAUCUCACUC
Molecule: long non-coding RNA, 331 nt
Filed under: Elaeis guineensis (African oil palm)
Lineage: Eukaryota; Viridiplantae; Streptophyta; Magnoliopsida; Arecales; Arecaceae
Description: long non-coding RNA (EGUI_LNC047501)
Source: RNAcentral